Molecule: ribosomal RNA, 553 nt
Filed under: Idolomantis diabolica
Lineage: Eukaryota; Metazoa; Arthropoda; Insecta; Mantodea; Empusidae
Description: partial 16S ribosomal RNA
Rfam family: Bacterial large subunit ribosomal RNA
Source: RNAcentral
UCGCCUGUUUAUCAAAAACAUGGUUUCUUGAUAUAUUUAGGAAAUCUAACCUGCCCACUGAUAAUUUUGAAGGGCCGCAGUAUUUUGACUGUGCAAAGGUAGCAUAAUCAUUAGUCUUUUAAUUAAAGGCUUGUAUGAAUGGUUGAAUGAGGUGAAUACUGUUUUGUAUUAAUUGGUUUGAAAUUAGGAUUUGAGUAAAAAUACUUAACUGUAAUUAAGGGACGAGAAGACCCUAUAGAGUUUAAUAAAUGAAAUAAUAAGUUAGGUUAAUAAGGAUUUUUUAAUUUUUAUGGAGUUUAUUUAAUUGGGGUGAUUAAAAGAUAAAAAAAACUCUUUUUUAAUGUAAAUAUUAUGAUUAAUGAAAUGAUCCAUUGUUAGUGAUUGUAAGAUUAAAUUACCUUAGGGAUAACAGCAUAAUUUCUUUUGAGAGUUCAUAUUGAGAAAGAGGAUUGUGACCUCGAUGUUGGAUUAAGAUUAGUUUAAAAUGUAGAUGUUUAUAAUCUAGGUCUGUUCGACCUUUAAAAUCUUACAUGAUCUGAGUUCAAACCGGAGA